GUAAACAGUAACCUACUUGCCACCUGGGGAGGUACAGCGUGGCUUGACUGGAUAGUAGCCUCUUUGGGUUUUGCUUCAAACCCAACCUAUUUGAAGGUGAAGUGUGCGGUGAGAGUCUGGAACCCUGCAGCGGGGAUGAGGGGGAUGCAGAGGGAGGGAAACCGACCACAGAAGGGAAAACCAGCCCAGGCUGGCCAGCACUGAAAGCCACCUCUCCCUGAGGCUCAGCAGCGAUCUGGACUACAUCCUGGGUUCCAGAAAAGGCAGAGGUUCUUACCGAAAGCAGGGGAGGAAGCUGCAGCCCAGGGAGGUCGUCACUUGCCGGGAAGGUGGCUCGGGCCAGGCUGCACUCAAAACCCGUGCUCUGUCCACACUGCUACGGGGCCAGAGCCAAGGAAGCUUCCACUUCUUCCCUCAGACAGCCCCGACAGCGGCUACCCCAAGGAGCCAGCAGCCUUGUGUCCUGGGAUCCCCAGCACUUGCAGAAUGACCCACCAGGAUCUGAGCAUCACAGCCAAACUCAUCAAUGGAGGUGUAGCGGGGCUCGUGGGGGUGACCUGCGUGUUCCCCAUGGACUUGGCCAAGACUCGCCUGCAGAACCAGCAUGGGAAAGCCAUGUACAAAGGAAUGAUCGACUGCCUGAUGAAGACAGCUCGGGCGGAGGGCUUCUUCGGCAUGUACCGAGGGGCUGCAGUGAACCUCACUCUGGUCACUCCAGAGAAGGCCAUCAAGCUGGCAGCCAACGACUUUUUCCGGCAGCUGCUCGUGGAAGAUGGGAUGCAGCGGAACCUGAAGAUGGAGAUGCUUGCCGGGUGUGGGGCUGGGAUGUGCCAGGUGGUGGUGAC
This 845-nucleotide small RNA is filed under the name Pongo abelii (Sumatran orangutan). Its description in RNAcentral is "processed transcript". Lineage: Eukaryota; Metazoa; Chordata; Mammalia; Primates; Hominidae. The record is from RNAcentral.